ACNUGCAAGUCGAGCGGACAGAUGGGAGCUUGCUCCCUGAUGUUAGCGGCGGACGGGUGAGUAACACGUGGGUAACCUGCCUGUAAGACUGGGAUAACUCCGGGAAACCGGGGCUAAUACCGGAUGCUUGUUUGAACCGCAUGGUUCAAACAUAAAAGGUGGCUUCGGCUACCACUUACAGAUGGACCCGCGGCGCAUUAGCUAGUUGGUGAGGUAAUGGCUCACCAAGGCAACGAUGCGUAGCCGACCUGAGAGGGUGAUCGGCCACACUGGGACUGAGACACGGCCCAGACUCCUACGGGAGGCAGCAGUAGGGAAUCUUCCGCAAUGGACGAAAGUCUGACGGAGCAACGCCGCGUGAGUGAUGAAGGUUUUCGGAUCGUAAAGCUCUGUUGUUAGGGAAGAACAAGUACCGUUCGAAUAGGGCGGUACCUUGACGGUACCUAACCAGAAAGCCACGGCUAACUACGUGCCAGCAGCCGCGGUAAUACGUAGGUGGCAAGCGUUGUCCGGAAUUAUUGGGCGUAAAGGGCUCGCAGGCGGUUUCUUAAGUCUGAUGUGAAAGCCCCCGGCUCAACCGGGGAGGGUCAUUGGAAACUGGGGAACUUGAGUGCAGAAGAGGAGAGUGGAAUUCCACGUGUAGCGGUGAAAUGCGUAGAGAUGUGGAGGAACACCAGUGGCAAAGGCGACUCUCUGGUCUGUAACUGACGCUGAGGAGCGAAAGCGUGGGGAGCGAACAGGAUUAGAUACCCUGGUAGUCCACGCCGUAAACGAUGAGUGCUAAGUGUUAGGGGGGUUUCCCGCCCCCUUAGUGCUGCAGCUAACGCAUUAAGCACUCCGCCCUGGGGGAGUACGGUCGCAAGACUGAAACUCAAAGGAA
This 880-nucleotide ribosomal RNA is filed under the name Bacillus subtilis. RNAcentral describes it as "bacterial SSU rRNA". It matches the Rfam family "Bacterial small subunit ribosomal RNA", at positions 53 to 909 of the family's 1533-position model. The record is from RNAcentral. Lineage: Bacteria; Bacillati; Bacillota; Bacilli; Caryophanales; Bacillaceae.